Molecule: long non-coding RNA, 350 nt
Organism: Rhagoletis zephyria (snowberry fruit fly)
Lineage: Eukaryota; Metazoa; Arthropoda; Insecta; Diptera; Tephritidae
Source: RefSeq, a predicted model, not a curated record
UGAUAAGUAUCGGUAACUUAUUAUUAAAAUUAAAAUUUUAAGUUAAAAGAGCAAUGGCUGCAAAUGCCUUAAGUUAACUUCUGUGUUGAAUUUUUUAUUUUAUUUAAUUUUUUUUUAAUUACACCGGCACACGAAAAAAGUGAUUCGUACAUUUAACCAGACCGCCUACCGACAUGUACAUCGAACCGCUAAAUCCGAGUGUGAAGUCCGUUUGACUCUAAUCUGCCGGCACCCCAUUUUUUUAUAUAUUGCUGAGUCUCCACUAGGCAUUACAUACAUGACGAAUGUUGACCAUUAAAAAAUACCUUUACGUUCGUUGAAAUAGUCUUUGUCUCUUUCCACACGGCAUU